RNAcentral lists this ribosomal RNA (207 nucleotides) under uncultured bacterium. RNAcentral's name for it is "partial 16S ribosomal RNA". It matches the Rfam family "Bacterial small subunit ribosomal RNA", at positions 568 to 774 of the family's 1533-position model. The record is from RNAcentral.
CGUGUAGGUGGCUCUUCAAGUCUCUGGUGAAAUCUCCCGGCUUAACCGGGAGGGUGCCAGGGAAACUGGAGGGCUUGAGGGCAGCAGAGGGGGGUGGAAUUCCCGGUGUAGUGGUGAUAUGCGUAGAUAUCGGGAGGAACACCAGUGGCGAAGGCGGCCCCCUGGGCUGUUCCUGACACUGAGGCGCGAAAGCGUGGGGAGCAAACA